This is a long non-coding RNA of Micropterus dolomieu (smallmouth bass), 1011 nucleotides long. RefSeq lists it as uncharacterized. The transcript is spliced from 2 exons. NCBI's taxonomy places the organism in Eukaryota, Metazoa, Chordata, Actinopteri, Centrarchiformes, Centrarchidae. The record is from RefSeq and is a predicted model, not a curated record.
CAAGGACUAUCAAGAUUUUUUUUGUUUAAAAUGUUCAAACCUUAGUUUGUCAUUUCUAAGCCAAUCCAACACAACAUGAACUUGCAACAGCAAAUUCCUACUGGUAAAUGUGAUUACAAAGCAGACAUUGGUUAGAUAAUAGUAGUUAAAGGCAUGAUGAAAGAGCCUUGGUGGUACUUUCUGACACAGCAGCAGGAAAUAAGAUGAGAUGCUGACUUGGUAUUUUUGUCACCUCGUAUUGCUCAACACACACAUUAGGCUGACCAAUAAUAUCUGAUGAAUAUUUUCACAGUAUGUGGGGCUGCCACCUUAGAAUAACCAGGUGCACCUGGGCCCAAUGCUCAUCAGCAAUUAUAAAAGCUGCCACUUCAGUCCCCUCAGGGAGGCCUUAUCCAAACUUAUUUCUUUUCUCAUCUCUCUUUGCUUUUCAAUUUAUCGUUUGUAAACAAAACUGUUAAAUAUUAUUUGUAUCUUUCCCAUUAUUUGCCACAGUGUGCAGUAACUACUGAUCCUGACAAAGUGUUACGCGAGGUGGCAUACAGAAACUGAAGGGAACACUUGUGGAUCACACAUGGUCACACAUCUGGAGACCAUGAUGUCCCCAGACUGGGGAAGUGAUAGAGUAGACUGCUGCUCCACUGCAUUUGCCAGGGGAUUAUUUAUGGGGAUAUACAUUGGAUGUGCCUGAGAGUCCAUUCAGUGGUUAUGGAUGUGCAGAGUUAAUUGUGCAUCUGAUUGCACACAGCUCUUGCUACACUGUGGAAAACUCUGCUUGUCUUGUGGUUCUUUGGCCACUGGUACCCCUCCUCUGCUGUUUGUUGUAUCAUGAGUUUCAAUUGCCUCACCUACUACAUCUCCAGAAAAACAGCCUGCUGCCCCUACAUUGGUAAUGCAGCUGUGAAAAUGGUUGUCUACUCAGCUGAUUAAAUAUACAGAUGUAUUUUGUUAAUAUUUACAUUGUAAUUAUCAAUCUUCACUGACUAAUAAAAUCUUAAUUAAGUUUGCAUGUUU